Molecule: transfer RNA, 58 nt
Filed under: Dipodomys ordii (Ord's kangaroo rat)
Lineage: Eukaryota; Metazoa; Chordata; Mammalia; Rodentia; Heteromyidae
Rfam family: tRNA
About the family: Transfer RNA (tRNA) molecules are approximately 80 nucleotides in length. Their secondary structure includes four short double-helical elements and three loops (D, anti-codon, and T loops). Further hydrogen bonds mediate the characteristic L-shaped molecular structure. tRNAs have two regions of fundamental functional importance: the anti-codon, which is responsible for specific mRNA codon recognition, and the 3' end, to which the tRNAs corresponding amino acid is attached (by aminoacyl-tRNA synthetases). tRNAs cope with the degeneracy of the genetic code in two manners: having more than one tRNA (with a specific anti-codon) for a particular amino acid; and 'wobble' base-pairing, i.e. permitting non-standard base-pairing at the 3rd anti-codon position.
Source: Rfam by way of RNAcentral
UAGCUCAGUGGUAGAGCAUUUGCUUUGCAUGCAUGAGGCCCUGGGUUCGAUUCCUCAG